CUCUACGUGGAGACUGAUCUCUCACCACGACACGAGCUUCCUGCCUUCCGAUCCUCCUCUACGGACCGUUUGCUGACGGACUUCCCUGGGCCUGCUACCUGAGACCUGCUGCUUCCUCCCUGACCUGCAUCCUCUCGCUGCCCCAGACCGGCCUCGCUGCUCCUGCCCUUCGGCCUCGGACCGUCGGAACAUCAUGCAACGGGACUGCUGCCGGAUGCUGGUGCAAGCAUGAAGACUCUCCGUAUGUCCACAUUCCAGCUCUCAGGGUCAACACAGUGCUUCUCCUGAGAUUUUCCCCAGCAUCCAUAGCCCUCGGAGAAGAACCUUGACAGCUCUAAGCAGUUGCUUCACAUUUAGUGACUUCAAAGUUGAGAGAGGGUGCUCGUCACCAUGCCACUUUGAAUUUUGAGUUUGCUGGCCAGUGUCACUGGGGAGGAUGGGAGAAGGAGGAAAGAGAAAGGUGCUUGGUUAUCUGUUACAGAAUAGUGAGUCCAUAGCAAGCUCCAUUGUUACAGAUAUAUAUAGCCAAACUUUUGUGGCAACAGAUGCAAAAGAGAGAAGGGACUUCUGUGGACUUGGAAUAUGGCAACCAACACUCUAAUGCCCAGCAGUCCCUAUAGCAUCCUGUAGCAGACAUGCUGAGUCAUGGCUUGAAACAGUGAUUGGCCACCUGGCCUUUCAUAAUUUCAUAAUUCAAGUGAAAAUCCAUAAUAAGAAAUGAGUGUAAUGAAGGUCUAUUACACUCAGAUACAUAAUGAUUUUAAGUAAUAAAUUAAAUCUGGUGUUUUUGCCAGCUUCCAGCAGGCAGAUAAACUGUUUCUCUUACUGGAGUUCACCAGAUAGUUCAUUACAAGUAAGUUUAGGAAUCCACCAUUCCUUCCAUUAUGUUCUCUGUGAAAGUUUAAAACCAGGUAUAAAAUUUCAGAAAUAAGCUAGCUCACAAAGUCACAGGUAGUUGGCAUCCUUUUUGUUUGUUUGUUUGUUUGUUUUGUUUCUUUUGUUUUGUUUUGUUUGUUUGUUUUUAGGAAAAAUCAUUGAUGUGCUUCCAAUUUUGUAAGCACCAAGGUUGGCUUUGCUGCUGGUGAAAUCAAAUUAGUGAUUUCAACCAAACUAAGUCAUGGCAUUUAGGCAUACGAAACUGAUGUUGACACAGAGCUGUGUGGGGCAAAAGUGCAGACCACCAUGAGAAAGGGAAGGUAGAAGGAGUCCAUUCUAUUGGCAAAUGAGCUCAUAUUCCUAGUAUUCCUAGCAUGUUACUCUAGCUAGGGUUUUUGUUACUGCUGCUAUUAACUGAGGGCAAUAAUGUGAGGAUUAUUUGAUACUUUACGGAGUAGCACCCAUAUAUACUUAUGACAAGUAUUUGAUAUUGUAAAUUGGAUGCUCUGAGUACAAAGUAAGACUUAUACCUUAUGGCUGAUUUUCUGUCUGACACAUGCAAUAAAUACUGUUAUUUAUUGAGUAUGACCUUCAAAACAUACAAGAAAAUGUCACAUAAGAAUCUAGUUUAUACAAGUUCUGCCAUUCUAUUCAAAAUGCAAAGUUUGCAAGCUCGUAAGCGUGCAUCCCAAAAAUACAAAUUCAGUAGUGGAUAUUCAUUAUACAUCCACAAUUGCCAUUACAAUGUCUGAUCAAAUGAGAUUAAUCUUUUUAAAAUAGCUUUCAGUCAGAAAAUUACUUUGCAAUAGUAUAUAAGCUUUUAAAAGUCAUCUUGAGGAUUACCAUCAGGUGGGUUAUCAAUUUUUUUCAAUAAGACAAGCAAUCACAUCCCACUAGGACAAAGAAUCCACAUAGAAUCCACGUAGAAAAAAACAGUCCUGUAAUGUACCCACAGUAGUAAGCAUGUUUCUAUAACUCCCAAUGUAAGACAAAUUUUUAUGCUUAGUCUAAGAAGAUAUAAUGGGAAGAAACUUUAAAAGCUUCUAUGUCAACAACUUCUGUCACUUUUAACGUUGUUAUAUUCAUUUAUCUUUCCAGUGAUUUCCAAAGGGCAGGGUGGGAGAAGGGGAGUUGUUUCGGGGCUGGUUUGCAAUACAUCUGUGUUUCCAUAUUUAUUGCACACUUUCUCUACUGGGUCACUUAAUUAAAGAUUUUAUUUAAAAUACUAUUUCUAUUUCAUAACUGCAGAUGCAGUAAAGAUGAAUGGAUAUUUAUUUUAUUUUGGAAAUUAAAAUCAUUCUAGCAGUUCUGAUCAGAUGCACACACACAAAGACAAUAUUAAUACUUUAUACUAUUUCCUCUAUCAGUGCUUGACUGUGGACAGCUGUUUAUGGAUUUUCUAUUCCUGAAGUAAAACACAGGAAUGAAAGUUGUACUGUACUUCUAGUGGAAGCAAUUAGAAGGUCACAGAAAUGCAGUAUUAAAUAUUACCAUCAUUUAAGCAUGGCUGUGAAUUUACUGAGUGUCAUCUGCUCUGCAAUAAGUGCCCUAUAGCAUGAUCUAACUCUGUCAGAAAUGCAUAGUACCUCCAUGACAGAAAUGCAAACAUUCUCAAAUUACCUUUAAUUUAUUCUCUGAUAACAAACACGUGGAAAACAAGAGAGGGUGAAACAUAACUUACAUUCUUGUGUUUACUUAUUUGUGUAGUGCAUUCAAAGUAAUAUCCAUGUAAAAACACCAAAAUAAGUAUCUUUCAGCUGAAUUGAGUGCUCCCACUGUGAUGAUGUCCUCAUCAAUUUAGUAUUACUAUGAAUAAAGCACUAGGGAAAUUAAAAGACCAGUUAACUACUUUUUGAGAGGAAGUGACACUGGAGAAGAGUAAUAUUUACUUCUUUUUUAUAAAUUGAUUUUUAACUGAAAUUGAUACUGGCUUCUUCUCAAAAGCUUCUCAAAAGCUGCAUCUAUCUUCCACUGAAAAAGCUGAAUGGCAGAGUAACAGCAGAAAGAGAUAAUGAAACAUCAGUAAGACUGCUUAUGAACUGCUAAAAUUCAUCUAAUAUUGUGAAAACUUGCUUUAAAUAUUUCAGUGUUUAUAAAUGUAACAAAAGAAAUGAAAUGCCUGUUAACGCUUGUUUGUGCUGACAGCUCAAAGCCAACCUUUUCAUGCAAUCUCCAAUUUGUCCUCUGCUCAUGCAGAAACAUCAUAGUCAGUAUAAUUUAAUAUAUUAUUUUUGGAAAUAUAGAAUAUGCAUUAGUAACAUUCAGUCAAACUUUUCCUUUUGUCUUGUUUUCUGUAAUGCAAUAUAUAUUGUUGCAUGCUUUUGUAUAAUAGAAAGCAAAAUAAAAUGAUUUCUAUAUCACAAACUUCACCAAUCAAACAAAUUAAAAUCUCCAGAAUAAUGCACUGUCAUCGUUUAACCCAGCUGACAGCUAAAUGUUACACCAUAUUUACUCUGCUUCCCUGCCUCAGUGGGAUCGAAGAGAGAAGGGAAAAGUGCAAGAAAUUGUGGGGGAGCGGAGGGGAGAGGAGUCAUGCCUCAUCUUCUCAAAUAAAACAAAAUAUUUCAAAU
Molecule: long non-coding RNA, 3446 nt
Filed under: Gallus gallus (chicken)
Lineage: Eukaryota; Metazoa; Chordata; Aves; Galliformes; Phasianidae
Description: lncRNA (ENSGALG00010005791.1)
Source: RNAcentral